This is a long non-coding RNA of Lathyrus oleraceus (garden pea), 863 nucleotides long. RefSeq lists it as uncharacterized. The record is from RefSeq and is a predicted model, not a curated record. The transcript is spliced from 2 exons. NCBI's taxonomy places the organism in Eukaryota, Viridiplantae, Streptophyta, Magnoliopsida, Fabales, Fabaceae.
AAUAGGUGAAUAAACCAAGUCAUGAUUGUUCAUUAAGGAGAAUUAUAAGAAAUAAAGACAGGGAUUCAUUAAAUGAAAACAAAUAAAGUCAUCAUAUCAUUAUCUCCUGAAACUCUCUUUUUUCUUUAAAUACAAGCUUCCUCUCUCUCACUCUAUUUAUGUGCUUCAUUCUUCAUCUUUCUCCUUAACAUGAAAAGAAAAAAAGACCACAAAAACCUUCUAAGAAAAAGAUAUUCAUAGUUUGAAACAAGAGAACACCAUGAAGGUGUUUAUCAAAGUUUUUUUUUUGAAUUCAAAUUUAUCCCAAACCCACAAACUUUCAACACUAACAUUCUCUCAAAUCUUCCCCUCAACAUAAAUAUGCAAGCAAAUCAAACAGACAACAAAUAUACAUGGAGAUCACGCUCAAUCCCAAUUUGAAACCUAACUAGUAAGUCGCAACAAAAUCAAAGCACAAAUGUUAAAUCGAAACAGUACAGUUGAUGAAGCAAGCAUAAAAGGGUGUUCAGAUCAAGAUAAAGACUUCGCCGGAGUUUUGAAAGUCUAGCGACACUACGGCAGCCACGAAAGUUACCUCAGGAAAAAAUGCUAACACUGCUAUUAUGUAAUCACAACAGCAACAGGAUAAAGUUUAUGUCCAAAAGAGAAGAGUUGCCUCUAUGCAUAGAGGACAAAAAUAAGGUCGGCAAGUUGGAAGGGAUCUUCACAAAGAAACUAAAUCUCUUGUUAUUGUAAAAAAAAUCAUGAACUUGUAAUACUUACUGAUGCAUUGAAAUUCUCUUUCUAAUUCGUCUCUCAAAAAAAUAUUGUAGACAUACUUUACAUAAUGUACUUUUGUAUGCAUUUGAAUUUUCUUUUUGAAA